RNAcentral lists this ribosomal RNA (446 nucleotides) under uncultured bacterium. Its description in RNAcentral is "bacterial SSU rRNA". It matches the Rfam family "Bacterial small subunit ribosomal RNA", at positions 329 to 792 of the family's 1533-position model. The record is from RNAcentral.
UUCCAGACUCCUACGGGAGGCAGCAGUGGGGAAUAUUGCACAAUGGGGGAAACCCUGAUGCAGCGACGCCGCGUGAGCGAUGCAGUAUUUCGGUAUGUAAAGCUCUCUCAGCAGGGAAGAAGAUGACGGUACCUGACUGAGAAGCCCUGGCUAACUACGUGCCAGCAGCCGCGGUAAUACGUAGGGGGCAAGCGUUAUCCGGAUUUACUGGGUGUAAAGGGAGCGUAGACGGCGAUGCAAGCCAGAUGUGAAAGCCCGGGGCUCAACCCCGGGACUGCAUUUGGAACUGUGUGGCUGGAGUGUCGGAGAGGCAGGCGGAAUUCCUAGGGUAGCGGUGAAAUGCGUAGAUAUUAGGAGGAACACCAGUGGCGAAGGCGGCCUGCUGGACGAUGACUGACGUUGAGGCUCGAAAGCGUGGGGAGCAAACAGGAUUAGAUACCCGUGUA